RNAcentral lists this transfer RNA (84 nucleotides) under Acyrthosiphon pisum (pea aphid). It matches the Rfam family "tRNA". From Rfam's summary of the family: Transfer RNA (tRNA) molecules are approximately 80 nucleotides in length. Their secondary structure includes four short double-helical elements and three loops (D, anti-codon, and T loops). Further hydrogen bonds mediate the characteristic L-shaped molecular structure. tRNAs have two regions of fundamental functional importance: the anti-codon, which is responsible for specific mRNA codon recognition, and the 3' end, to which the tRNAs corresponding amino acid is attached (by aminoacyl-tRNA synthetases). tRNAs cope with the degeneracy of the genetic code in two manners: having more than one tRNA (with a specific anti-codon) for a particular amino acid; and 'wobble' base-pairing, i.e. permitting non-standard base-pairing at the 3rd anti-codon position. The record is from Rfam by way of RNAcentral. Lineage: Eukaryota; Metazoa; Arthropoda; Insecta; Hemiptera; Aphididae.
GUCAGGUUGGCGGAGCGGUCUUAGGCACCAGAUUUAAGCUCUGGUUCCCAAACGGGAGCGUGGGUUUGAACCCCACACCUGACA